This 74-nucleotide transfer RNA is filed under the name Microbacterium phage Cece. RNAcentral's name for it is "tRNA-Gln". It matches the Rfam family "tRNA". From Rfam's summary of the family: Transfer RNA (tRNA) molecules are approximately 80 nucleotides in length. Lineage: Duplodnaviria; Heunggongvirae; Uroviricota; Caudoviricetes. The record is from RNAcentral.
UCUGGAGUGGUCUGUUGGUAGGCCAGUCGGAUUCUGACUCCGGCCUCCGUUGGUUCGAUUCCAGCCUCCAGAGC